CAAGCAUAUCAAUAAGCGGAGGAAAAGAAACCAACAGGGAUUGCCCCAGUAACGGCGAGUGAAGCGGCAACAGCUCAAAUUUGAAAUCUGGCCCCUCCGGGUCCGAGUUGUAAUUUGUAGAGGAUGCUUUUGGUGAGGUGCCGCCCGAGUUCCCUGGAACGGGACGCCGCAGAGGGUGAGAGCCCCGUCUGGCUGGCCGCCGAGCCUCUGUAAAGCUCCUUCGACGAGUCGAGUAGUUUGGGAAUGCUGCUCAAAAUGGGAGGUAUAUGUCUUCUAAAGCUAAAUACUGGCCAGAGACCGAUAGCGCACAAGUAGAGUGAUCGAAAGAUGAAAAGCACCUUGAAAAGAGGGUUAAAUAGUACGUGAAAUUGUUGAAAGGGAAGCGCUUGUGACCAGACUCGGGCGCGGCGGAUCAUCCGGGGUUCUCCCCGGUGCACUUCGCCGCGUCCGGGCCAGCAUCAGUUCGCCGCGGGGGACAAAGGCUUCGGGAACGUGGCUCCCCCGGGAGUGUUAUAGCCCGCUGCACAAUACCCUGCGGUGGACUGAGGACCGCGCGUAAGCAAGGAUGCUGGCGUAAUGGUCACCAGCGACCCGUCUUGAAACACGGACCAAGGAGUCGUCUUCGUAUGCGAGUGUUCGGGUGUCAAACCCCUACGCGUAAUGAAAGUGAACGCAGGUGAGAGCUUCGGCGCAUCAUCGACCGAUCCUGAUGUUCUCGGAUGGAUUUGAGUAAGAGCAUACGGGGCCGGACCCGAAAGAAGGUGAACUAUGCCUGUAUAGGGUGAAGCCAGAGGAAACUCUGGUGGAGGCUCGCAGCGGUUCUGACGUGCAAAUCGAUCGUCAAAUAUGGGCAUGGGGGCGACAGACUAAUCGAACCUUCUAGUAGCUGGUUUCCGCCGAA
This 901-nucleotide ribosomal RNA is filed under the name Trichoderma seppoi. Its description in RNAcentral is "LSU rRNA". It matches the Rfam family "Eukaryotic large subunit ribosomal RNA", at positions 35 to 965 of the family's 3401-position model. The record is from RNAcentral. Lineage: Eukaryota; Fungi; Ascomycota; Sordariomycetes; Hypocreales; Hypocreaceae.